CUCUCGGUAGCCAAGUUGGUUUAAGGCGCAAGACUGUAAUGGUAUAACAAGACAUCUUGAGAUCGGGCGUUCGACUCGCCCCCGGGAGA
This is a transfer RNA of 89 nucleotides. It matches the Rfam family "tRNA". Rfam says of the family: Transfer RNA (tRNA) molecules are approximately 80 nucleotides in length. Their secondary structure includes four short double-helical elements and three loops (D, anti-codon, and T loops). Further hydrogen bonds mediate the characteristic L-shaped molecular structure. tRNAs have two regions of fundamental functional importance: the anti-codon, which is responsible for specific mRNA codon recognition, and the 3' end, to which the tRNAs corresponding amino acid is attached (by aminoacyl-tRNA synthetases). tRNAs cope with the degeneracy of the genetic code in two manners: having more than one tRNA (with a specific anti-codon) for a particular amino acid; and 'wobble' base-pairing, i.e. permitting non-standard base-pairing at the 3rd anti-codon position. The record is from Rfam.